AUGGGUAGUGGUGCAUCUUUUGCAUACAUUGCACUUCUCAUCACUGCUUGUUCAUCAUUUAGUUUGAUGCUUUGGUUAGCAGCGACACCGUUGAAAUCUGCAACUCACACAGAUGCUUUGCUAUGGAACUGGGAAGCACCCAAUACACCUGAACCAUCCAUGUGGAGGGGGGAAAUUUUUUUACCUGAAACUCUACAUGAUGGAGAGGAACUCAUUCAAAGCGAGGAACAAUUACCAGAACCACGGAAUUCGGUGGAGAGUUGUUCAGAUGUAAUUGGUGUUAAUGCUGAACCGAAUUUGCCUGAGACGAUUAUGGAAACUGAACAGGAACUGCAUUUGAAAACUAACAAGGAAAGUGAUCUUGAUGUUACUUUUGAUAGCCCG
Molecule: long non-coding RNA, 384 nt
Filed under: Manihot esculenta (cassava)
Lineage: Eukaryota; Viridiplantae; Streptophyta; Magnoliopsida; Malpighiales; Euphorbiaceae
Description: long non-coding RNA (MESC_LNC004332)
Source: RNAcentral